AGCGGCGGACGGGUGAGUAAUGCUUGGGAAUAUGCCUUAUGGUGGGGGACAACAGUUGGAAACGACUGCUAAUACCGCAUGAUGUCUACGGACCAAAGUGGGGGACCUUCGGGCCUCACGCCAUAAGAUUAGCCCAAGUGGGAUUAGCUAGUUGGUGAGGUAAUGGCUCACCAAGGCGACGAUCCCUAGCUGGUUUGAGAGGAUGAUCAGCCACACUGGGACUGAGACACGGCCCAGACUCCUACGGGAGGCAGCAGUGGGGAAUAUUGCACAAUGGGCGCAAGCCUGAUGCAGCCAUGCCGCGUGUGUGAAGAAGGCCUUCGGGUUGUAAAGCACUUUCAGUAAGGAGGAAAGGUUAAGUGUUAAUAGCACUUAGCUGUGACGUUACUUACAGAAGAAGCACCGGCUAACUCCGUGCCAGCAGCCGCGGUAAUACGGAGGGUGCGAGCGUUAAUCGGAAUUACUGGGCGUAAAGCGUACGCAGGCGGUUUGUUAAGCGAGAUGUGAAAGCCCCGGGCUCAACCUGGGAACUGCAUUUCGAACUGGCAAACUAGAGUGUGAUAGAGGGUGGUAGAAUUUCAGGUGUAGCGGUGAAAUGCGUAGAGAUCUGAGGGAAUACCGAUGGCGAAUGCAGCCACCUGGGUCAACACUGACGCUCAUGUACGAAAGCGUGGGGGAGCACAC
This 684-nucleotide ribosomal RNA is filed under the name Pseudoalteromonas shioyasakiensis. Its description in RNAcentral is "bacterial SSU rRNA". It matches the Rfam family "Bacterial small subunit ribosomal RNA", at positions 94 to 773 of the family's 1533-position model. Lineage: Bacteria; Pseudomonadati; Pseudomonadota; Gammaproteobacteria; Alteromonadales; Pseudoalteromonadaceae. The record is from RNAcentral.